RNAcentral lists this ribosomal RNA (442 nucleotides) under uncultured bacterium. RNAcentral's name for it is "partial 16S ribosomal RNA". It matches the Rfam family "Bacterial small subunit ribosomal RNA", at positions 338 to 795 of the family's 1533-position model. The record is from RNAcentral.
CCUACGGGCGGCAGCAGUAGGGAAUCUUUCACAAUGGACGAAAGCCUGAUGGAGCAACGCCGCGUGCAUGAUGAAGGCCUUCGGGUUGUAAACUGCUUUUAUAAGCGAGAAAUGUGAUGGUUACUUAUGAAUCAGGAUCGGCUAACUACGUGCUAGCAGCCACGGGCAUACGUCGGGUCCGCACAUUAUCUGGAGAGACUGGGUGUACAGAGUUGCGUAGGUGGCAUAAUAAGUAGCGAGUUAAACCUGGUGGCAUAACCAUUCAGACUAUUAGCUAAACUGUUAAGCUCGAGACCAGUAGAGGUAACUGGAAAUUCUAGUGUAGGGGUGAAAUCCGUAGAUAUAAGGAGGAACACCAAUAGCGAAGGCAGGUUACUGGGACGGUACUGACACUAAGGCACGAAAGCGUAGGGAGCAAACGGGAUUAGAUACCCGAGUAGUC